ACAUGCAAGUCGAGCGGAACGAGUUAUCUGAACCUUCGGGGAACGAUAACCGCGUCGAGCGGCGGACGGGUGAGUAAUGCCUAGGAAAUUGCCCUGAUGUGGGGGAUAACCAUUGGAAACGAUGGCUAAUACCGCAUGAUGCCUACGGGCCAAAGAGGGGGACCUUCGGGCCUCUCGCGUCAGGAUAUGCCUAGGUGGGAUUAGCUAGUUGGUGAGGUAAGGGCUCACCAAGGCGACGAUCCCUAGCUGGUCUGAGAGGAUGAUCAGCCACACUGGAACUGAGACACGGUCCAGACUCCUACGGGAGGCAGCAGUGGGGAAUAUUGCACAAUGGGCGCAAGCCUGAUGCAGCCAUGCCGCGUGUGUGAAGAAGGCCUUCGGGUUGUAAAGCACUUUCAGUCGUGAGGAAGGUAGUGUAGUUAAUAGCUGCAUUAUUUGACGUUAGCGACAGAAGAAGCACCGGCUAACUCCGUGCCAGCAGCCGCGGUAAUACGGAGGGUGCGAGCGUUAAUCGGAAUUACUGGGCGUAAAGCGCAUGCAGGUGGUUUGUUAAGUCAGAUGUGAAAGCCCGGGGCUCAACCUCGGAAUUGCAUUUGAAACUGGCAGACUAGAGUACUGUAGAGGGGGGGUAGAAUUUCAGGUGUAGCGGUGAAAUGCGUAGAGAUCUGAAGGAAUACCGGUGGCGAAAGGCGGCCCCCUGGUACAGAUACUGACACUUCAGAUGCGAAAGCGUGGGGAGCAAACAGGAUUAGAUACCCUGGUAGUCCACGCCGUAAACGAUGUCUACUUGGAGGUUGUGGCCUUGAGCCGUGGCUUUCGGAGCUAACGCGUUAAGUAGACCGCCUGGGGAGUACGGUCGCAAGAUUAAAACUCAAAUGAAUUGACGGGGGCCCGCACAAGCGGUGGAGCAUGUGGUUUAAUUCGAUGCAACGCGAAGAACCUUACCUACUCUUGACAUCCAGAGAACUUUCCAGAGAUGGAUUGGUGCCUUCGGGAACUCUGAGACAGGUGCUGCAUGGCUGUCGUCAGCUCGUGUUGUGAAAUGUUGGGUUAAGUCCCGCAACGAGCGCAACCCUUAUCCUUGUUUGCCAGCGAGUAAUGUCGGGAACUCCAGGGAGACUGCCGGUGAUAAACCGGAGGAAGGUGGGGACGACGUCAAGUCAUCAUGGCCCUUACGAGUAGGGCUACACACGUGCUACAAUGGCGCAUACAGACGGCAGCCCACCUUGCGAAAGAGAGCGAAUCCCAAAAAGUGCGUCGUAGUCCGGAUUGCAGUCUGCAACUCGACUCCAUGAAGUCGGAAUCGCUAGUAAUCGUGGAUCAGAAUGCCACGGUGAAUACGUUCCCGGGCCUUGUACACACCGCCCGUCACACCAUGGGAGUGGGCUGCAAAAGAAGUAGGUAGUUUAACCUUCGGGGGGACGCUUACCAA
RNAcentral lists this ribosomal RNA (1432 nucleotides) under Vibrio parahaemolyticus. RNAcentral's name for it is "16S ribosomal RNA". It matches the Rfam family "Bacterial small subunit ribosomal RNA". The record is from RNAcentral. Lineage: Bacteria; Pseudomonadati; Pseudomonadota; Gammaproteobacteria; Vibrionales; Vibrionaceae.